RNAcentral lists this long non-coding RNA (589 nucleotides) under Musa acuminata (dwarf banana). RNAcentral's name for it is "long non-coding RNA (MACU_LNC004676)". Lineage: Eukaryota; Viridiplantae; Streptophyta; Magnoliopsida; Zingiberales; Musaceae. The record is from RNAcentral.
UGUUCCACCUUAUUACACACUCCCCACCUUCCAUUAACCUGUGCCAACUUAUUCCCACGUCUUCUCUCUUCCUGCUCCACUCCUAUAGACGCCUUCGAAUCGCCCUUCUCUUCUUCUUCACUCGCGGCUAGUGCUGGCGUCCGCUCCCUGUCGCAGGAGAAUAAGAAACGGAUCGAUCGCUUCGAUCGCUACUUGAAGAAAAGGUCAAAAAGAACAUGAAACGAGAACGUCAAGAGACCGUCGAGGCGGCGGAGACGGAGGACGAGAAGGGGAAGGCGAGGAUGGACGCCGACGAUGGUGGUGUUGAUGAGCUGCUGGCGGCGCUGGGGUACAAGAUACGGUCGACGGAGAUGGCCGACGUCGCGCAGAAGCUGGAGCAGCUGGAGAUGGCCAUGGGAAGCAGCGUCGCAGCCAACGACGAUGCCCUCCUCUCCCACCUCGCCUCCGACGCCGUCCACUAUAACCCCUCCGACGUAUCCACCUGGGUCGAUACCAUCCUCUCCGAGUUCAAUGCCCCUUCUCUCCCUCUCCCCCCGCCUCCGCUGUCCCCCGCUCCCCUCCAACACUUCAAUCUUCCCCCUGACGGAAC